CCAUCAGGGAGAGCUAGAGGAAAGGGCCCUAGCUCAGAGCCUACAAAGACAAUAGGGACCUUGUAUGAGUCACAGAACUUCGGAUUGUUCACAGUUCACUCUUCAACUUAAUGUAUUUCAAGCCGAUUUUCUACAUUUUGUCAUCUUCUGCUACAUUCAAGAGUUCUAGAAUAUUGACUUUGCAUAAAACACGAGACUUUUUCCUCUCAAAUAUACAUGCUUUUACAUCUGAUUGAGAGCCACAGUUUAGACAAACAGAUUUAAGAAAGCAGAAACCUGCAAAGAAAAUGACUGUGGUUGGAGAGCUAGUGUUUCCUCCAGUGAGUUUGACUCCUUUUAGAGGCAUAUGCAGAGACAACAAAACCCCGGGCUAGCUCUGAAAAGUACAAAGAAAACUGCAUUGAAUUAUGAUCAGAAUGCAGAACCCUACAAGAUUACUGUUCCAUGGAAGAAAAGCAACAUGUGAUCCAGAAUGCAAACCUCUAUCAUGAUAGAACCAAAGUCACCUGAGAUAUGCAGUCUGCAUCUUCAGAGCUUGUGCAGGUCCCUCUGGACAUCAUCCUGUCCCUCAGGUGUGUCAACCACACCACUCAGCUUGGUGUCCUCUGCAAACCUGCUGAGGGUGCACUUGGUCCCAGUGUCUGUGUCAUUGACAACGAUACUAAGCAGUAUCGGCCACAGUGCGAAACCCUGAGGGACACCACUUGCCAUGGAUCAUUCUUCUUUUCAAAUAACCUCCAGAAAGAUCCCUCAAUCCCACAAAUGUCUCAGCUUCAGCUACAAAGCACAAUGUGGGAUUUCAAAGGGGCUUGAGGAUGGUGAGAGCUAUUUGAUCAGCUGAGAAGGCUACUUACAGGAUCUCCCAGACAUCUGGCCCCAAUCUGUCACUGCUUAAUCCUACCAUCUUAAACAUUUUGUUGAUGUUUGAUGCCUGGGUUAACUGUAACAAACGCUGUGUGAUCCUCAAUGUCUGUAAAUGUCAACAGAGCUCGUCAACAAGUUCAUCAAUAAAAAUAAUAACUAUAUGGCAA
This is a long non-coding RNA of Neopsephotus bourkii (Bourke's parrot), 1031 nucleotides long. RefSeq lists it as uncharacterized. The record is from RefSeq and is a predicted model, not a curated record. The transcript has 2 exons. Lineage: Eukaryota; Metazoa; Chordata; Aves; Psittaciformes; Psittacidae.